RNAcentral lists this ribosomal RNA (865 nucleotides) under uncultured bacterium. Its description in RNAcentral is "bacterial SSU rRNA". It matches the Rfam family "Bacterial small subunit ribosomal RNA", at positions 32 to 879 of the family's 1533-position model. The record is from RNAcentral.
AACGCGGGCGGCGUGGCUAAGACAUGCAAGUCGAACGGACCAUCUAAUUGAGCAAUCGAAAGGGUGGUUAGUGGCGAAAGGGUGAGUAAUAGGUAGGUAACGUACCCUGGGCACCGGGAUAGCGUCAUACCCGCAAGGGUAUUUCCGAAAGGGGCGGUAAUACCGGAUAACGUCGUAGACCGACGGGUUUACGACCAAAGAUUUAUCGGCACAGGAGCGGCCUACUUCCUAUCAGCUAGUUGGUGAGGUAACGGCCCACCAAGGCGAUGACGGGUAGCGGGACUGAGAGGUUGGCCCGCCACAUCGGGACUGAGACACUGCCCGGACCUCCACGGAGGGCUGCAGUAACGAAUAUUGGGCAAUGGGCGAAAGCCUGACCCAGCGACGCCGCGUGCGGGAGGAAGUUCUUCGGAAUGUAAACCGCUUUAGGGGGAUAGAAAGUGCAUUUCGGUGCAUUGAUCGGCCCCAGAAUAAGUCACGGCUAACUUCGUGCCAGCAGCCGCGGUAAGACGAAGGUGGCAAGCGUUGUUCGGUAUCACUGGGCUUAAAGCGUGUGUAGGCGGGAACGUAAGCAUUUUGUGAAAUCCCCCGGCUUAACCGGGGAAUUGCUUGAUGUACUGCGUUUCUUGAGGCAAGUAGGGGUGCGAGGAACUCUUGGUGGAGCGGUGGAAUGCGUAGAUAUCAAGAGGAACGCCGAUGGUGAAGACAUUGCACUAGGCUUGUCCUGACGCUGAGACACGAAAGCGUGGGGAGCGAACGGGAUUAGAUACCCCGGUAGUCCACGCCGUAAACGAUGCCUACUAGGUUGUGGUGGUUCUGACGCCAGCACAGCCGAAGCAAAAGUGUUAAGUAGGCCGCCUGGGGA